AGNCCNGUGGAUUUGCUAUACNNCAGGCCUAACACAUGCAAGUCGAGCGGGCGAGGUUGCUUCGGUAACUGAGCUAGCGGCGGACGGGUGAGUAAUGCUUAGGAAUCUGCCUAUUAGUGGGGGACAACAUUCCGAAAGGAAUGCUAAUACCGCAUACGCCCUACGGGGGAAAGCAGGGGAUCUUCGGACCUUGCGCUAAUAGAUGAGCCUAAGUCAGAUUAGCUAGUUGGUGGGGUAAAGGCCUACCAAGGCGACGAUCUGUAGCGGGUCUGAGAGGAUGAUCCGCCGCACUGGGACUGAGACACGGCCCAGACUCCUACGGGAGGCAGCAGUGGGGAAUAUUGGACAAUGGGCGCAAGCCUGAUCCAGCCAUGCCGCGUGUGUGAAGAAGGCCUUUUGGUUGUAAAGCACUUUAAGCGAGGAGGAGGCUACUUGGAUUAAUACUCUAGGAUAGUGGACGUUACUCGCAGAAUAAGCACCGGCUAACCCUGUGCCAGCAGCCGCGGUAAUACAGAGGGUGCGAGCGUUAAUCGGAUUUACUGGGCGUAAGGCGUGCGUAGGCGGCUUUUUAAGUCGGAUGUGAAAUCCCUGAGCUUAACUUAGGAAUUGCACUCGAUACUGGGAAGCUAGAGUAUGGGAGAGGAUGGUAGAAUUCCAGGUGUAGCGGUGAAAUGCGUAGAGAUCUGGAGGAAUACCGAUGGCGAAGGCAGCCAUCUGGCCUAAUACUGACGCUGAGGUACGAAAGCAUGGGGAGCAAACAGGAUUAGAUACCCUGGUAGUCCAUGCCGUAAACGAUGUCUACUAGCCGUUGGGGCCUUUGAGGCUUUAGUGGCGCAGCUAACGCGAUAAGUAGACCGCCUGGGGAGUACGUCGCA
RNAcentral lists this ribosomal RNA (875 nucleotides) under uncultured bacterium. Its description in RNAcentral is "bacterial SSU rRNA". It matches the Rfam family "Bacterial small subunit ribosomal RNA", at positions 1 to 890 of the family's 1533-position model. The record is from RNAcentral.